RNAcentral lists this ribosomal RNA (253 nucleotides) under uncultured bacterium. RNAcentral describes it as "partial 16S ribosomal RNA". It matches the Rfam family "Bacterial small subunit ribosomal RNA", at positions 524 to 776 of the family's 1533-position model. The record is from RNAcentral.
UACAGAGGGUGCGAGCGUUGUCCGGAAUCACUGGGCGUAAAGGGCGCGUAGGCGGCUUUAUAAGGUUGCGGUGAAAGCCCGGGGCUCAACCCCGGGUCGGCCGUGGCAACUGUCGAGCUGGAGCACUGUAGAGGCAGGUGGAAUUCCGGGUGUAGCGGUGGAAUGCGUAGAGAUCCGGAAGAACACCGGUGGCGAAGGCGGCCUGCUGGGCAGUGGCUGACGCUGAGGCGCGACAGCGUGGGGAGCAAACAGG